UUGUAGUUGGUGUCUACAUUUUUCAGUUUUCUGUAAGCAUAUUCUCACCUUCUCUGUAUAUAUGUGGGUGGAAGGCUAGGGUAAGGUUAGAAGGAAAAGAGAUCAAAGAAGGGUAAGAAGUUAUAAGAUUUAAGGAGAAAGAUUCCUUAGGUAUAUCUUUUCAUUUAUAUGAAUAUCAGUACAGAAGUGUAUAAGGAAAUAAAAAAAGAAAAAGGAGCUGAAUCUGACUUCAGUGGCUGGACUUAUCAUCCUUUUGUUCAAGUAUCCAAGAAACUGUGUCUUAAAUUAUUGCCACGGUGUCUAUCAAAGAUACCCCAAAUUGAUGCACAUACUUAGGAUGUGAUUAAUGAGGGCACACAAGAAGGGGGCUGUGAUUGUGUUCAAAAUGCCGUUGAUGGGGGGAGACGUGCUUGGAUGCAGAUCAAAGAAGAAAUUGCAUCUUUAAGGAUGAGGGUAGCAUGAGAUGGACAUUGCUGCACGAGAAAUAUAAAAUUUUUGAAAGUUGAAUUCUAAUAAUUGGCUAUGAUAGUUUUUUGCAGGUCAUUUUUAAAUGGCCAACGCUGGAAAUGUUUUCCUUAAUUUGGAAAUAAUUGAGAAGGGAGCAUGAAGGUGAAGGUUUCAAUCCAACCAUACAACCAUACAUAUUCAAACUACUAGAGUAAUACAAACUUUCUAGUCUCUUUCUUUUAGAAGUUCCUGAUGAUAUGGCAAGGAGGAUGAUAAGAGUUUGUAAAGCAAUGGCGGUAAUAUUGCCCUUCAUGCUGUAUAUGAUGAAGCUCCUACAUUUGAGAAUGAAACGCUCGGUUGAUAUGUCUAAUCAUUUAUUGGGAUAGUUUUUAGAUUUAUGGAUGUACAUGAAAGCUUUCCUUUCAGGGGGCACAUCCCCCCGAUUCAUGACCACUACAGAUAUUUUGGUAAAAAAAGAUGAUAGUACUCAGAUAUCCUAGAAGUUGUUAUCAGGAGCAUCAAAAUCGCAACCUUUCAUUAAACAUGCAAACACUUUCAAGCAAAUCUCCCAGUUCUCAUAGAAAAUUUGCAGAGAAGGACCGAGGGAGGCUCAACAUGGCAUACCUUGGCCUCUGAUGCUGGAUUCUGCAGGUGCUGAUGUUCCUCCUUUGACUUGUUAUAUCUCUCAGUUACUGCUUUGAUGCUGAUCAAAAUACAUGGUAUCAGUUGACUUUUCACUAUAAAUACUGAUAUAAAAAUAGAGCAAUCAUGAGAAACCA
This is a long non-coding RNA of Juglans regia (Persian walnut), 1226 nucleotides long. RefSeq lists it as uncharacterized. The record is from RefSeq and is a predicted model, not a curated record. NCBI's taxonomy places the organism in Eukaryota, Viridiplantae, Streptophyta, Magnoliopsida, Fagales, Juglandaceae. The transcript is spliced from 2 exons.